Molecule: ribosomal RNA, 242 nt
Filed under: bacterium enrichment culture clone ALO1_GLFRUDD03G7UPD
Lineage: Bacteria
Description: partial 16S ribosomal RNA
Rfam family: Bacterial small subunit ribosomal RNA
Source: RNAcentral
GAGUUUGAUCAUGGCUCAGGACGAACGCUGGCGGCGUGCCUAACACAUGCAAGUCGAACGGAGAACUCGAAAAGCUUGCUUUGAGAGUUCUUAGUGGCGGACGGGUGAGUAACGCGUUGGGCAACCUCCCCCUUAAACCGGGACAACCCUUGGAAACGAGGGCUAAUACCGGGAUACGCUUUUCUGAGGACAUCCCCGGGAAAGGAAAGGCGGCCUCUGAAGAUGCUGCCGAUAAGGGAUGG